Molecule: transfer RNA, 75 nt
Filed under: Bacteroidota bacterium
Lineage: Bacteria; Pseudomonadati; Bacteroidota
Description: Bacteroidetes bacterium (marine metagenome) tRNA-Pro
Rfam family: tRNA
About the family: Transfer RNA (tRNA) molecules are approximately 80 nucleotides in length. Their secondary structure includes four short double-helical elements and three loops (D, anti-codon, and T loops).
Source: RNAcentral
CGGGAUGUGGCUUAGUCUGGUUAAAGUGCUGGUCUGGGGGACCAGAGAUCGGGAGUUCGAAUCUCCCCAUCCCGA